Molecule: ribosomal RNA, 564 nt
Filed under: uncultured Trichoderma
Lineage: Eukaryota; Fungi; Ascomycota; Sordariomycetes; Hypocreales; Hypocreaceae
Description: eukaryotic LSU rRNA
Rfam family: 5.8S ribosomal RNA (bases 186-339)
Source: RNAcentral
UCCAACCCAUGUGAACGUUACCAAACUGUUGCCUCGGCGGGAUCUCUGCCCCGGGUGCGUCGCAGCCCCGGACCAAGGCGCCCGCCGGAGGACCAACCAAAACUCUUAUUGUAUACCCCCUCGCGGGUUUUUUUAUAAUCUGAGCCUUCUCGGCGCCUCUCGUAGGCGUUUCGAAAAUGAAUCAAAACUUUCAACAACGGAUCUCUUGGUUCUGGCAUCGAUGAAGAACGCAGCGAAAUGCGAUAAGUAAUGUGAAUUGCAGAAUUCAGUGAAUCAUCGAAUCUUUGAACGCACAUUGCGCCCGCCAGUAUUCUGGCGGGCAUGCCUGUCCGAGCGUCAUUUCAACCCUCGAACCCCUCCGGGGGGUCGGCGUUGGGGAUCGGCCCUCCCUUAGCGGGUGGCCGUCUCCGAAAUACAGUGGCGGUCUCGCCGCAGCCUCUCCUGCGCAGUAGUUUGCACACUCGCAUCGGGAGCGCGGCGCGUCCACAGCCGUUAAACACCCAACUUCUGAAAUGUUGACCUCGGAUCAGGUAGGAAUACCCGCUGAACUUAAGCAUAUCAAUA